UCCAUCCUGAGCUGCUCUUCCCUUGGGCCUCCAGAAAGGAGGCUGACUGAGGUGAUGCAAGUUUCUCUGAGGACAGCCACCUUGCACCUUAUAUGAACACAGACUCAGCCUACUCACCAGCUUUCUGAGACCACAAACAACAAAAGCUGGCUGCAUAGGAGGGAGAGAGGCCCCAAGGAGGGGCUCUGUCGUGCGACCCUGCUGGACUUCUCCAUCCCAGUUUCCUUGCUGGAGUCAACUUGCCUGUGCACAAAGAUUGCAUCUGGCUUACAUGCCAUCAGUAGGAAUCCAUUCAGGAGAAAGAGAGAUCAGAAGAGAAGCCCGAGUGGAAAUGAGAACAAGCUGCGAAGGGGCCUGGCAUUCCAGUCACUCUAGUGAGCCGCCUCCUCUAG
This 392-nucleotide long non-coding RNA is filed under the name Homo sapiens (human). RNAcentral's name for it is "HSALNT0233621". The record is from RNAcentral. Lineage: Eukaryota; Metazoa; Chordata; Mammalia; Primates; Hominidae.